Molecule: ribosomal RNA, 497 nt
Filed under: uncultured bacterium
Lineage: Bacteria
Description: partial 16S ribosomal RNA
Rfam family: Bacterial small subunit ribosomal RNA
Source: RNAcentral
GAUGAACGCUGGCGGCGUGCCUAAUACAUGCAAGUCGAGCGAACGGACGAGAAGCUCGCUCUCUUGCUGUUAGCGGCGGACGGGUGAGUAACACGUGGAUAACCUUCUUCUAUGUCUGGGAUAACUUCGGGAAAACGGUUAUACUACCGGCUCAUAUUUUCAACCGCUUGGAUCAACAGUGCUUGGCGGCUUUCCUGUCUCUAUUAGACGGUUCCGGGUUGAGUGAUCUAGUUGGUAAGGGAACGGCUUACCAAGGCAACGUUGCAUAGCGGACAUGAGAGGAUGAUCAGCCACACGGGAACUGAGACACGGUCCAGACUCCUACGGGAGGCAGCAGUGGGGAAUCUUCGGCAAUGGGCGAAAGCCUGACGGAGCAACGCCGCGUGGGUGAAGAAGGCCUUCGGGUCGUAAAGCCCUGUUGUUAGGAAAGAACAUAAGUAUGAGAAACUGUGGACGUCUUGACGGUACCUAAAGAGAAAGCCACGGCUAACUACGUG